Molecule: long non-coding RNA, 801 nt
Organism: Thunnus maccoyii (southern bluefin tuna)
Lineage: Eukaryota; Metazoa; Chordata; Actinopteri; Scombriformes; Scombridae
Exons: 3
Source: RefSeq, a predicted model, not a curated record
GCUGCCAGGGAGGAGCACUUCCUGACAGUCCUUGAGAAAUUACUAAACAAAUGAUAAAAAAAACCUCAUUAUCUGCUCUGUCUGUCUGUUAUUUGUAUGACUCUAGAUCUUUAGUCAAUCACACAUAAAUGUUCACACACAUGGCGAGGCAAAUUUAUUUGUAUAGCACAUUUCAACAACAAGAGUGCUUUACAUAAAACAUUAAAAGCAUUAAGACAAAGUGCAAAAAAACACAUUAAAAAAAGGCAUUUAAAUACUUCUGCUCCAUAGAUGGUGCCUUGAGGUAGUGGUUCUGGUUGGUCCCCUGCUGUUCCCUCCACAUCAACAUCUUCUGGCUCCGACUGGUCCCCAUUGCUGAGACAGAUGUUGCGCAGAACUGUGCAGCAGGCUAUGACCUCCAGGACAUAGAGGACGUCCAACUCCAGCGCCUUCAAGAAAAUAGACCUUCACCUGGUCUUCAGGAUGCCAAAAGGUCUCUCCACAGCACAUCUCGCUUUAGACAGUGAUUGAGCUGCAGCUUUAAGGCUUUCACCUUCCUGCUGUUUGGGAAGCUGCACCUCCACUCUGGUACUUGUAGGCCACUGUGCAUCAUGGUACCUGGCCUCCGCUCCCUGGCACAAGUGCUGUUUUGUCUCUACGCCUCUACUUUGCAGUCAUUGUUUGUAUAUCUAAUGAUUUGUCUUAUUUUGUUUUCAAAGUGAUGAAACUUCCUAAGAAUUUUCUUGGAGUGAGAGACUCCUGGGGUGGCUUUGUUGACACCAUAGACUGUAUAAAAAUAUGGAUGUAGUUACCAUGAUGUCA